This 3525-nucleotide long non-coding RNA is filed under the name Sus scrofa (pig). Its description in RNAcentral is "lncRNA (ENSSSCG00065028716.1)". The record is from RNAcentral. Lineage: Eukaryota; Metazoa; Chordata; Mammalia; Artiodactyla; Suidae.
UAGAAAUAAAUCAGUCCCCUGAUCACCUUCAGAGGUGACUUAGGCAUGUUUUAUGUGUGUAUGUAUUUAUAUUUCAUUUCUUUCUUUCCUGUCUUUUUGGACCACCCCCACGGCAUAUGGAGAUUCCCAGGCUAGGGGUCAAAUUGGAUCUGUAGCCGCUGGCCUACACCACAGCCACAGUAACUCGGGAUCUGAGCCACCUUUGCAACCUACACCACAGCUCAUGGCAACACUAGAACCUUAACCCACUGAGUGAGGCCAGGGAUCGAACCUGCGUCUUCAUGGAUACUAGUCAGAUUCAUUUCUGCUGAGACACUAUGGGAACUCCAGAUGUUUCAUUUUUUUAAUGUAAUUUUUAUUUUUCCCAUUUUAGCCGAUUUACAGUGUUCUGUCACUUUUCUGCUACACAGCAAGGUGACCCAGUCACGCAUACAUGUAUACAUUCUUUUUUUUCCUCACAUUAUCAUGCUCCUUCACAAGUGACCAGACAUAGUUCCCAGUGCCGUACAGCAGGAUCCCAUUGAUUAUCCAUUCCAAAGGCUGUAGUUUGCAUCUAUUAACCACAAACUCCCAGUCCCUCCCCCUCGGCACCCACAAGUCUUUUCUCCAAGUCCAUGAUUUUCUUUUCUGUGGAAAGGUUCAUUUGUGCCAUAUAUUAGAUUCCAGAUAUAAGUGAAAUCAUAUGGUAUUUGUCUUUCUCUUUCUGACUUACUUCACUUAGUAUGUUUCAUUUCUUUUCUUUCCUUUUUUUUUUUUUUUUUGGUCUUUUUUUCCUUUUCUAGGGCUGCACCCAUGGCAUAUGGAGGUUCUCAGGCUAGGGGUCUAAUUGGAGCUACAGCUGCCAGCCAACGCCAGAGCCACAGCAACCCAGGAUCCGAGCCACGUCUGCGACUUAUACCACAGCUCACAGCAAUGCUGGAUCCUUAACCCAGUGAGUGAGGCCAGGGAUCAAACCAGCAACCUCAUGGUUCCUAGUCAGAUUCGUUAACCACUGAGCCACGAUAAGAACUCCCAGUAUGUUUCAUUUCUUAUUGUAGCUCCAGUUGUCUCAGUUUCGACUAGCCGCCACCUCUUCAAACUUUUAUCCUGAGUCCUUUACACAUGAGCCUCAUUAUCUUUGGUACCUUCCUUACUGUUCAGUCUGAUUUUCCAGCCUAUCUUUUAUCCUGCCCAAGACCUGGAAUCAGCCAUUCCUCCAGGAAGCCCUGCUUUUUAUUUUUUAUCUCUCUCUUUUUUAAUUUUUUUUUGUGGUAUAUGCUAUGCAAGAUCAUGUCCAGAAGUUAGAGAUGUUCAUUGCUACUGGGUUGCAAAUGUUCAUGGUCCUUUUCAUACUGACAUUUUAUUUCCAAAUAACUUGAAACUCAGAGAAGUUGCAGAAUGGUAGAGUUCCUUUAUAUCUUUCAUCCAGACUUCCCUAAGUAAACAUCUUAAAUAACCAUAGUGCAGUAAUCAAAACGAGGAAAUUAGUAUUGCUACACUGUUAUUAUUAAAUUAUACACUGUGUUUAGGGAUGAUUUGUAAAAGCUUGAUUAUAGCUGUGCCUUUAGUCUCCAAGUCCUUUUUUUCUGGGUAUUAACUUUAGUGGUUCUUAACCAGUAAGAUUUCUCAGAGUCACCUGAGAACUUCUGAAAAUCCAGUACCUGAAAUCUUUUUUCCCCUCUUUCAGAAUUGUUCAGAACCUCAAGAUGGGGAUAAGACUAUAUGGUGUCAGUUGAAGUAUUUAGGGAUUUUGCUAGAAUCCCAUCUGCUCCAACAGCUUAGUGGAUGGAAUCAAUUGAGGAGAGAAGCAAUUAUAUUUUGCUCCCAACUGGUGAUAAUGACCCCCUUAGACUCCAAGAUAAAAAAUAUUCUGUCUUAAAAUGAGUCAAGUUUGCUGCUUCCAGUGCCAGAGAUUCCUGUUAUACUUAGAAUUGUCCUUCCAUAUUUAUUAACUCAUUCCAGAAAUGUUGGUUGAGCACCUUCUGUGUGCCAGGCACUGGGGAUACAGCAGUGAAAAAACACAAGCAGAGUCUGGUCUCUGCAUUCGUGGAUGUACUUGGAUAUUGGAAAAUGCGAACAACUUAACAGAGUGCAGUGACUGUUAUUUUAGGAGGAUUGCAGGGCACUACGAAUACAUACAGCUGGCAGACCUCACGUAGUGUAGGGAUCAGCGAAAAUCUUCCUGGCAAGGUUGUAUUCAGGCUAAGUCAGGUAGAAGUUAGCUCCACAGAGGCAGAGGGAACAUGCUUAGUUUCUGAACAUACCCUGGGGCUCCAGCUGGGGAGAAGUCCUCCUAUCUCACUGGAGAAAAAUGUGCAAGACCAAGGAAGAGAAAAAUAGAAAGGUGAGCACUAGUCUUCACUGGGCCUUCUCAAAGCAGUCAAGCUUUCAUAGAAAUAGGAACUCUCAUUCUCAAUCACAUAUCAUCCAGUUUCCAUACCAUCUGAGCUACAUAAUUAAAGUACCCAAAAUAAAAGUGACACAAAGUGGUUUGUGCAAAAAUAAACCGUGUGAAGUGUGAGUCUGAUUUGGUGGGAGCAGAAAUGAUGGCUAGAGAAUGACUUCGCAAACAUAGGUGAGCCUGCCAUGGGACCAGUCAGCAUUUCAUACAGCAGGAAUUGAGAAUUUGUGGUUUAUCUGGCAAAGUCCGUUGGGCAGAGGUCAGUUAAGCCAACAGCAACUGUAGUUAUAGUGUGGGGGCUUGAUGAGCUCAUUGAAAGGAAUGAGAAAACGAAGAGGGCCAAGGUUAGAACCUUAGGGACCACUUUCGCAAUCAAGGGAAAGAGAGAGGAUAACAAACUAGUUGAAAGCAAGUUUUACAGGAGCCUCACUUUUUAGAUUUUGAGGCCUUUAAAUCUGACCUUUCUACUUAGACACUGAGCAGUCUUGCAACUUUUUUUUUUUAACUUUUAUUUUUUUUGUCACUCCCAGGGCGUGUAAGUUCCCAGGAUCGAACCUGCACUGCAGCACUGCUGCAGUGACAACGCUGGAUCCUUAACUGACUGCGUCUCAAGAGAAUUCCUUUGCAAUUUUAUUUUUGUUUAAUCAGGCGUUUUGCACUUAUUUGCCAUUGAAGGCUUUUUUUGGUUUGUUUUUUAACUUAGCUAAUUCAUAUUCUGUGUCCUGUAGAAAAAACAGGAACCUUCUUUUGGAAAUGCAGCUGUAGGCAGAAGGGAGCAACCAAAGGGAUUUGGGCAGGCAGACUUUGCCUCGCUGAGGUUUCAGAUUCUUACAGUGGUCCUCUGGGGACAGGAUUCCAGAAGCGAGUGAGAUAGGAUGUUUGGGAGACCAGCUUGAGCCCAGGAGAAAGCUAACGGGAGCCUCAGUAUAGGCAGUGACAGUGGGAAUGACAAAGAGACGGGUCACUAUAGAUUUUAGUUGAAGUGCCAGGAAUUGGUAACUGGAUGUGAGAGGAAGGAAGAGGGUAGGGAGUCUGGUGACUGGUUUUUGUUUGCGUGGCCAAGAGAAUGAAUGGUGCUGCUUAUGCAGAUGCCGUGAUACAGAGCUGGGGCCAGUGGUGAAAGGGAAGAUGAGUUCCAUUUUGGA